RNAcentral lists this ribosomal RNA (122 nucleotides) under Schizosaccharomyces cryophilus. Lineage: Eukaryota; Fungi; Ascomycota; Schizosaccharomycetes; Schizosaccharomycetales; Schizosaccharomycetaceae. The record is from RNAcentral.
GUCUACGGCCAUACCUAGGCGAAAACACCAGUUCCCGUCCGAUCACUGCAGUUAAGCGUCUGAGGGCCUCGUUAGUACUAUGGUUGGAGACAACAUGGGAAUCCGGGGUGCUGUAGGCUCUU